This 451-nucleotide ribosomal RNA is filed under the name uncultured Fibrobacter sp. Its description in RNAcentral is "partial 16S ribosomal RNA". It matches the Rfam family "Bacterial small subunit ribosomal RNA", at positions 341 to 792 of the family's 1533-position model. The record is from RNAcentral. Lineage: Bacteria; Pseudomonadati; Fibrobacterota; Fibrobacteria; Fibrobacterales; Fibrobacteraceae.
ACGGGAGGCAGCAGUAGGGAAUAUUGCACAGUGGGGGAAACCCUGAUGCAGCAACGCCACGUGUGGGAAGAAGCAUUUCGGUGUGUAAACCACUGUCGUGAGGGAAUAAUGCUUAAUUUCGGUUAAGUUGAAUGUACCUCGAAAGGAAGCACCGGCAAACUUCGUGCCAGCAGCCGCGGUAAUACGAGGGGUGCAAGCGUUGUUCGGAAUCACUGGGCGUAAAGGGAGCGCAGGCGGAGAUGCAAGCGGACUGUAAAAUACCGGGGCCCAACCCCGGACCUGCAGUCCGGACUGCACCUCUUGGAUAGUUCAGGGGCAAGCGGAAUUCCUGGUGUAGCGGUGGAAUGCGUAGAGAUCAGGAAGAACACCGAUGGCGAAGGCAGCUUGCUGGGGACUUAUCGACGCUCAGGCUCGAAAGUGCGGGUAGCAAACAGGAUUAGAUACCCUGGUA